GGGGAUGAUUUUGGUUUUGACAAAGAUGGUUCAAGACUUUAAAUGGCAAUCCAGGUAUCGCGCUGUCUGCCUGCUAAUUAGUCCAGCGCAACUUAAGUGCAAACGCAUUUAAAUCUCUUGGUUCACGUUUUGCUAAAGCAAAGGCAUCUUUUGCCCCCGCUUUCGCUUAUGCGUAAACCAAAACGACCGCCAAUCCGCGGUCUCGUCUGUUCAGGGGACACCUGCUAGCCUGGACAGGCGUUAUCCAGCAGGUUAAGCGUUUAUCACACCCCUGGAGGGGUAAACGCCGACAAUCCAAACCAGGUAAGCGUUCGUGUUUUUGUUGGCUUCUAUGCGCACGCCGAAAAAACAAACCGACUAUGAUUGUAGAGGUUUAAAAUCUUCAUCUUUGGACGCGAGUUCAAAUCUCGCCAUCUCCAUUU
This 422-nucleotide transfer-messenger RNA is filed under the name Patescibacteria group. Its description in RNAcentral is "JAFGCR01 sp016932495 Standard tmRNA". It matches the Rfam family "transfer-messenger RNA". Rfam says of the family: Bacterial tmRNA, also known as 10Sa RNA or SsrA, is named for its dual tRNA and mRNA-like properties. Its role is to liberate the mRNA from a stalled ribosome. RNAcentral also lists the same sequence under 1 other name. The record is from RNAcentral.